Molecule: ribosomal RNA, 549 nt
Filed under: Paenarthrobacter nitroguajacolicus
Lineage: Bacteria; Bacillati; Actinomycetota; Actinomycetes; Micrococcales; Micrococcaceae
Description: bacterial SSU rRNA
Rfam family: Bacterial small subunit ribosomal RNA
Source: RNAcentral
UGCAGUCGAACGAUGAUCCCAGCUUGCUGGGGGAUUAGUGGCGAACGGGUGAGUAACACGUGAGUAACCUGCCCUUGACUCUGGGAUAAGCCUGGGAAACUGGGUCUAAUACCGGAUACGACCAUCUGGCGCAUGUCAUGGUGGUGGAAAGCUUUUGUGGUUUUGGAUGGACUCGCGGCCUAUCAGCUUGUUGGUGGGGUAAUGGCCUACCAAGGCGACGACGGGUAGCCGGCCUGAGAGGGUGACCGGCCACACUGGGACUGAGACACGGCCCAGACUCCUACGGGAGGCAGCAGUGGGGAAUAUUGCACAAUGGGCGCAAGCCUGAUGCAGCGACGCCGCGUGAGGGAUGACGGCCUUCGGGUUGUAAACCUCUUUCAGUAGGGAAGAAGCGAAAGUGACGGUACCUGCAGAAGAAGCGCCGGCUAACUACGUGCCAGCAGCCGCGGUAAUACGUAGGGCGCAAGCGUUAUCCGGAAUUAUUGGGCGUAAAGAGCUCGUAGGCGGUUUGUCGCGUCUGCUGUGAAAGACCGGGGCUCAACUCCGGUU